UACGUAGGGUGCGAGCGUUGCCCGGAUUUAUUGGGCGUAAAGGGCGCGUAGGCGGCCACGCACGUCCGUUGUGAAAUCGCCCGGCUCAACUGGGCGGGGUCAGCGGAUACGGUGUGGCUAGAGCAAGCUAGGGGGCAAUGGAAUUCCCGGUGUAGUGGUGGAAUGCGUAGAUAUCGGGAGGAACACCGGUGGCGAAGGCGGCGUUCUGGACUGCAACUGACACUGAGGAACGAAAGCCAGGGUAGCAAACGGG
This 253-nucleotide ribosomal RNA is filed under the name uncultured bacterium. RNAcentral's name for it is "partial 16S ribosomal RNA". It matches the Rfam family "Bacterial small subunit ribosomal RNA", at positions 524 to 776 of the family's 1533-position model. The record is from RNAcentral.